CAGUAGCCACGGUAAUACGAAGGGGGCUAGCGUUGCUCGGAAUUACUGGGCGUAAAGGGCGCGUAGGCGGCCAUGCAAGUUAGAUGUGAAAGCCCUGGGCUCAACCUAGGAAUUGCAUUUGAUACUGUUUGGCUUGAGUUCGGGAGAGGUGAGUGGAAUUCCCAGUGUAGAGGUGAAAUUCGUAGAUAUUGGGAAGAACACCAGUGGCGAAGGCGGCUCACUGGACCAUAACUGACGCUGAUGCACGAAAGCUAGGGGAGCAAACAGGAUUAGAUACCCCGGUAGUCCCUGUCUCUUAUCA
RNAcentral lists this ribosomal RNA (301 nucleotides) under uncultured bacterium. RNAcentral describes it as "partial 16S ribosomal RNA". It matches the Rfam family "Bacterial small subunit ribosomal RNA", at positions 509 to 809 of the family's 1533-position model. The record is from RNAcentral.